This is a non-coding RNA of Schistosoma haematobium, 45 nucleotides long. NCBI's taxonomy places the organism in Eukaryota, Metazoa, Platyhelminthes, Trematoda, Strigeidida, Schistosomatidae. The record is from Rfam.
AUUCAAAUGACAAGUCCCAAAUAGGAUGAAACGUGCGUUCUGGAU